ACUCCUACGGGAGGCAGCAGUGGGGAAUAUUGCACAAUGGGGAAACCCUGAUGCAGCCAUGCCGCGUGUGUGAAGAAGGCCUUCGGUUGUAAAGCACUUUCAGUAGGGAGGAAGGUAGUGUAGUUAACACCUGCACUAUUUGACGUUACCUACAGAAGAAGCACCGGCUAACUCCGUGCCAGCAGCCGCGGUAAUACGGAGGGGUGCGAGCGUUAAUCGGAAUUACUGGGCGUAAAGCGCAUGCAGGCGGCCUGUUAAGUCAGAUGUGAAAGCCCGGGGGCUUAACCUCGGAAUUGCAUUUGAAACUGGCAGGCUAGAGUCUUGUAGAGGGGGUAGAAUUUCAGGUGUAGCGGUGAAAUGCGUAGAGAUCUGAAGGAAUACCAGUGGCGAAGGCGGCCCCCUGGACAAAGACUGACGCUCAGAUGCGAAAGCGUGGGGAGCAAACAGGAUUAGAUACCCUGGUAGACUGUCA
This 472-nucleotide ribosomal RNA is filed under the name uncultured bacterium. RNAcentral's name for it is "bacterial SSU rRNA". It matches the Rfam family "Bacterial small subunit ribosomal RNA", at positions 335 to 802 of the family's 1533-position model. The record is from RNAcentral.